Molecule: ribosomal RNA, 481 nt
Filed under: uncultured bacterium
Lineage: Bacteria
Description: partial 16S ribosomal RNA
Rfam family: Bacterial small subunit ribosomal RNA
Source: RNAcentral
ACGAACGCUGGCGGCGUGCUUAACACCUGCCAGUCGCACGCUGAAGCUCAGCUUGCUGGGUGGAUGAGUGGCGAACGGGUGAGUAACACGUGAGUAACCUGCCCUCUUCUUUGGGAUAACGCCCGGAAACGGGUGCUAAUACUGGAUAUUCACUGAUUCUCGCAUGGGGGUUGGUGGAAAGGUUUUUUCUGGUGGGGGAUGGGCUCGCGGCCUAUCAGCUUGUUGGUGGGGUGAUGGCCUACCAAGGCUUUGACGGGUAGCCGGCCUGAGAGGGUGACCGGUCACAUUGGGACUGAGAUACGGCCCAGACUCCUACGGGAGGCAGCAGUGGGGAAUAUUGCACAAUGGGCGAAAGCCUGAUGCAGCGACGCCGCGUGAGGGAUGGAGGCCUUCGGGUUGUAAACCUCUUUCGCUCAUGGUCAAGCCGCAGCUUUGGGUUGUGGUGAGGGUAGUGGGUAAAGAAGCGCCGGCUAACUACGUG